Long non-coding RNA from Amblyraja radiata (thorny skate), 666 nucleotides. RefSeq lists it as uncharacterized. The record is from RefSeq and is a predicted model, not a curated record. The transcript is spliced from 3 exons. NCBI's taxonomy places the organism in Eukaryota, Metazoa, Chordata, Chondrichthyes, Rajiformes, Rajidae.
CGUGGAAAUCAUUUCCGUGGGACAGGAAAUCUGUGGCAUAUUAUAUGUAAACAGGAUGUUUUUCUGAUGAUCAUUCAUGUCCGUGAGUUCUCCAUAAGCCAAGCAUUUGUAACCUGGGGAGGGCCUGUAUCUGAAUAAGUGAUGGGAAAAUGUUUACAUCCAGAUUAUUUCAGUCAUCAUGAGAAAUGCCACAGAUGAUAUGUUGUUCCACUAAAAAAUAUAUACCCGGUAUUUAGGAAUAUUUAGGAAUGUAAAUGUUAGAAGAUUGCAGUCGCCUCAAAAAUUGGAUUUUCAGGCUUUUAAGACGGCAUAAAACCACCUUGAAUUGAAAGCCUGGUAUUCCCUUCUUUGCAAUAAUAGUACAACCACUGUUGACUUUUUCAUGAUAAGACUUUUAAAGGGAUAUAAAAGUAGUGAAAUAUAUUUUAUGAUAUGUUAUGUGUUUAUGGCAGUUCCCCCAAAAAUAUUGUUUAUAUCAUGAAAUGACCCGAUCAAUGACAAAUGAAGUUGUCUACAUAUAAGAGGCUCAGCAAAGUAUUGAAGAUACCAAGUACUAACAAAUUCACUGACAGAAGCUUGUGAUCUCUGCUUCAAGUUAUGUGUUGGCCAGAAUGUUAGACAACAUGAUCUCAGGGUACUAAGUACUACUCCCAUCAAACACACAGU